RNAcentral lists this long non-coding RNA (5178 nucleotides) under Ananas comosus (pineapple). RNAcentral describes it as "long non-coding RNA (ACOM_LNC008185)". The record is from RNAcentral. Lineage: Eukaryota; Viridiplantae; Streptophyta; Magnoliopsida; Poales; Bromeliaceae.
AGCGAUGCUAUUAUCGUAGAGCCUCAAGUGCCCGUCAGAAUCGAACCUCAUGUACUGAGCCAGGUUCGCCGGGGGUAGCGAGAUCGACGUGUUGGGCACGCCUGGUUGUGUGAAGGGAACAAAGACCGACAGGCUACCGUUGGUGAAGGUGACGGACGCCGACUUGUUCACGGCUUUCGCUCCGGUGAUGCCGUACUCGUAGUAGAGCUGCGGGGGAUCGGAGUCGACGUAGGCGCGGAAACCGUCGCGGAAGACGGCGAGGUAGAGUCUGUUUUCGGUGAAAUUCGUGGCGGAGACGUUGGCAGUGAGGCGCAUCCCUUCGGAAAGUGACUGGCCGAUGACGAGCGUGUCGGUGGGGUGGUCGAAGGACUGCCAGACAGGGCCGUUGGCGCGAUCGAAGAGCAGCAAGUUUCCGGCUUCCGUGAGGUUAAGACCUGUAACGCGUUCGUUCGACGUGUUCGUGGACCAUACGAGGGAGUUGUCGACGUCGCGGAGAAUCAAGUCGCCGGCUUGGGUGAGCUGGAGCGUGGCGUUCUCGCGGACGGGGCGGGCGCGGUUGGCGGACCAGACGACCUGCGGGGCAGCAUUGGGGGGGUUGCUGAGGAAGCCGCCGCUGUCGGUGUCGACGAUGAAUACGGAGAAGAGGAAGGCGUCGCAAGGGGCGACGCAGAAGAAGCCGCAGGCGAAGGAUGGGCUGUAUCCGGAGGGUUCCAUGCGGAGAAGGAUGGUGCGGACGGAGGAGCCGUCGGCGUAGGUGAAGUAGUCGCGGAGGGCGGAGGGGUUGUUGGUCCACACGGUGGAGAGGUUGGCGGUCGGAUAGUCGUAGGGAUUGGCGUGUGCGCGGAGAAAGCUGAGGAGAAAGCAGGAGGCAAUCUCGAGGAGGAAGAGGCAACGGCGCCGGAGAAGCCACAUGGUGGUGGUGGUGGUGGUGGUGGAUUAGUGGGUGGGGUGGAAAAUUCAAGAUCCAUGAGCCGAUCUAUACAUUGCUUUAUUAGAAUAUUCACACUAGCUAGAAUGGUCAUUGCCUGCUCUCGGUGCAUUCACGCGCACAUAUCUGGUAUCAAUCUUCUGCUCUACACCAGCUACUUGUUUCAUCGUAUACUUUAGAAAAAAAAUUCAAUGAUUUUACACUUACUAACUUUAUUAUCUUGUGGUUUAAAAGUGUAUCAAUUUAGUACUCUGUGAUUUCAAUUUUAUUUUUUAUCAUCGAUUCUACUAAUUUUUUUUAUUAAAUCAGUGGCAGAGUUAAAACUAAAUGAUACUGAAGUAAAUAUUCGAUAAAUUUAGGUAGGUAUCUGAAGUUUUUUUGUAUAUAAUUUAAUAAAAUAUUAAUGAAAAAAUGAUGAAAAGAUAAAAAUAAAACUACAAAUACUAAUUUGAUAUACUUUAAAUUAUAGAAUAUUAAAAUAAGAAAAGCGUGACAUGAGUGAUAUUUGAAAAUUACCCUAUAUUUUAAUUUCAUCUAAAAUAUAAAGUAAGAUAAAUAAAAAAUAUGAAAUAAAUAAUGGACCCGAUGUAGGCAUAUAUGUCGUCGGUGGUGUGCUGGAUGNUAAUCCUAUCCUGUAGUUUUUUUUUUUGUGUGAAUUUUAGUAAUAACAAAAAUGAAAUUAAUAAGAUUAGUGAAAAAAAAAUAUGAGUCGGUCAAUAAGAGAGUUAUAGGAUUAGAAACAAAAAGUUGAUUAUAAAAGGAACUGUUUCGUUCCAUUUCUCUUACUUCUCACUGUCUUUUUUGGGAUCGCAAGCGGUGGGCGUAAAUGGUCCGGAGCAGAGAAAUUGUGACCGUACUUUUAGUAAAUUACACUUUUAGUUCUCAAAUUAUGAGAUACUGAUUAUUUUACUAGUAAAAUUUAAUUCAUUAUAAUUUUUAGCUUAAAUUUUUUAAAAUUAUACAGACCGUUCCUAACGUAAAUGACAAAAGAUUUGAUGGUUGAUACCCGGUGUUUAGUUUGAAUACUAAUUGAUUUAUAUUUCUAGCUAAGUUUAUUCUUAAAUGAAAUAAACGAAUCGGAUAGCAUCCUAUCUAUCUCUUAAAAAAAACAAUUCUGAAUUAUUAUAGUGAAGCAGUCUCACAGUUUAAAUUAAUUUAUUUACUAAAUAUCGAUACGUUUUAAGUCUGAUAGUGAUAUUGUAUCUUAAUUACUAUCAAUCAUCAACCAUAACACUAUUACAUACUUAAUUGGACCAUAAGUUUGAUUGCAUUAAAAUAAAAAAAUUUAAGUAAAAAAUAAUAAAUAAAUUAAAGUUUGAGCACUACCAUCUCACACGCUUUGAAAACCAAAAAUGUUGUCUAGUCAAAAAAACCAUUUGCACUGAUCUUGUUUGCUAGUUAUCCCUAGGGAUUGUGGGAUUGAUUGUUGGAUAUGCAGCCCAUAUUCAUCAACUAUCAAUUGGGAAGAUUACAAAAAAAUUUUCAUGGCAAAUUUCAUCACUUUUUCUCAAUAUUGAAUGAGAAAAAUUUUAAAAAUUUCAAAAUUUUUAAAACAUUUUAAGAUAUAAAAUUUCAAAUUAAGCCUAAAUCCUUAGACCCAAAUUUAAAUACAUAAGAAGGCUUAAUCCCCUGGGCUUAUAAAAAAAAAAAAAAAGAAGAUCAAUUCUGUUUCUUCCAUGCGGUUAAGUGAACUAUUUUACAACCACCAACUUUUAUUCAUUUUUUUUAUUGUGAUAUUUAUUUUUUUGAGAGAUAGGUAGCAAUAUACCCACUUCGUUUACUUCAUUUAGAAAUAAAUUUAGCUGAAAAUGUGAAUCAAUUAGGAUUUGAACUUGAGACUUUUAGAUACCAACUACCAAGUUCCUUACCGCUUGCGUUAGAAACGGUUAGUAAAAUAUGAUUUUUAGGAAUAAAUUACAGUUUUGGUCCUCCAAGUAGAUGGUACGUCAUAUUUAAUCUUCAAACCUUAAUUUACCAUACUUUUUUACCUCGAUUUUUUAUAUUGUUAUAAUCAAAUUCCACAAUAUAGUUUAACGUAUAAAUCAUACAAAAGCAAAUUGAGAAACUGGACACAUUAAUUGAAUCAAAACCUCUAUGGUACAAUUAGCUUGGAAAAUACUGCUUGGCCUAUAGAACAAUUUCUUGUGCAUUAAAUGUAAAUGCUAUGGAACCGCAAUUGCAGGCUCACAUAAAUUAUUUUAUUCACCUAGGUUCUGAUAAAACUGAUGCAGGAGGAACAAACAAAGAGCCUGGACGAUCGUCUCCGCUAGACAUUACUGUACUAGUAGCUACAAAAUCGUAUUCAAGACUAGUUUCCACACCGGUCGCUCCUUCCAGAACCUUCACUACUGUAGACAUCGGAGGCCUUCUACUACUAUCGAUCUGCAGGCACCACAUCGCGAGUUUCAUCAUUUCAAUCACUUCUUCUUCGGGCAACUUUAUAUCUUUGUUGGAACAAUCGACUAUAUCCAACAACCGACCGGCUUUAACUUUCUCUUGCAACAAGCUAAUUAGAUGAAUACUCUCUUCAGGCUGAGAAUAAUCCAAGUUCUUUCUCCCACACAAAAUCUCCAUUACGACGAUACCAAAGCUAUAGAUGUCGACCUUUUCUGUGAUCUUCGAAGUCAACCACUCCGGCGCUAGGUACCCCGGCGUGCCUCUCAUUCGAGUCAUUACCUGGCUUUGAUCUCUGUCGAUUAGCUUCGAUAAUCCAAAAUCGGAUACUUUAGCAUUGAGAUUUUGGUCCAAGAGGAUAUUUUGCGGCUUGAUGUCUAAGUGGGCAAUCUUUUGCCUGCACUCUUCGUGAAGAUACGAAAGACCCCUUGCUAUGUCUAAGAUGAUUUUGCGCCGAGUAUGCCAAUCAAGAAGGGAGAUUCGAUCCGCAUUGAAGAUCCAUUUAUCAAGCGAGCCGUUGCACAUGAAUUCGUAAACAAGAAGCCUAUGCGUUUUCUCAGCACAAAAUCCAACCAUCUUUGCUAGGUUAAUGUGGUGAAUGCUACCAAUAGUCUCAACCUCGGCUAAAAAUUCUUUCCUCCCUUGGCCUAUCCCAUCCAAACGCUUCACGGCGAUCUUUUCGUCGCCAAUUUUCCCCUCGAAAACCGACCCAAAUCCUCCCUCUCCGAGCUUCCUAGAGAAGUUCUCGGUAGCCUCUUUCAAUUCCUUGUAUGAAAACCGCCUUGGCAUUCCCGGGACUCGAUCCAAAAGUUCCUCCUCCUCCUCUUCCUCUUUGCUGCAUCUCCUUAGCCCAAGCACAAUUGCAAUGAUAAUUAACACUAUGAAAACUCCAGGUAGCACGAUACCCAGCACAAUUCCUGUUUUAGACUGCUUCUUAGUAAAAUCCGGGCUUUUCGAAGGGGCAGAAGCAGGGGGUGAGAGGACUCUCUGCACCUUAACGUAUGCAGAAGAACUGUAAUGACUUAUCGCCGGUUGAUUCGUCUGCAUCGAGAAGAUCUCCGACGGCAAGUAGCAGCUACCAUGAGUAGUAUUUCCCCCACCGAACUGAAAAAACGCGGCUUUGCACGAACAAUUCUUCAAACAAGCCGUCCUGCAACUCUCUUCGCUGACCAUACUCUGAAACGCGGCCGCAUCGGGGUCGACAUAAUUGAAGUAAGAGACGUUAGUGAGAGGCAACAAUUCAUGAUCAUAUGAAAAUUCACAAGAUAAAGGAGUCAACGGCUCGCAACCGAGAUUAGCUUCCCGGUCGUUGACUUGCUGGAAAUAGUCAGUCGAAGGGCAGCUGCAUUGUCCGCCGCCCGUGCAAAUGCCGUAAUCGCCGCACACCGUCGGAUAAGCGCAGUUGUCGGGGUACACAUCGAGCACGUCCUGCACCACCCUCCACCCGGCGAUGCUGUAGUCGUAGAGCCUCAGGUGCCCGUCGGACUCGAACCUCAUGUACUGAGCCAACUUCGCCGGGGGUAGCGAGAUCGACGCACUGGGCUCGCCUGGUUGUGUGAAGGGAACGAAGACGGACAGGCUACCGUUGGUGAAGGUGACGGACGCCGACUUGUUCACGGCUUUCGCUCCGGUGAUGCCGUACUCGUAGUAGAGCUGCGGGGGAUCGGAGUCGACGUAGGCGCGGAAACCGUCGCGGAAGACGGCGAGGUAGAGUCUACUCUGGGUGAAAUUUACGGCGGAGACGUUGGCGGUGAGGCGCAUCCCUUCGGCAAGCGACUGGCCGAUGACGAGCGUGUCGGUGGGGUGGUCGAAGGACUGCCAGACAGGCGCGUUGGCGCGAUCGAAGAGCAGCAAGU